AUACGGAGGGUGCAAGCGUUAUCCGGAUUUACUGGGUUUAAAGGGUACGCAGGCGGUAAUUUAAGUCAGUGGUGAAAGCCUACAGCUCAACUGUAGAACUGCCAUUGAAACUGAAUUACCUGAGUAUGGUAGAGGUAGGCGGAAUACAACAUGUAGCGGUGAAAUGCAUAGAUAUGUUGUAGAACACCGAUUGCGAAGGCAGCUUACUAAACCAUUACUGACGCUCAUGUACGAAAGCGUGGGGAGCGAACAGGAUUAGAUACCCUAGUAGUCC
This 274-nucleotide ribosomal RNA is filed under the name uncultured bacterium. Its description in RNAcentral is "partial 16S ribosomal RNA". It matches the Rfam family "Bacterial small subunit ribosomal RNA", at positions 523 to 796 of the family's 1533-position model. The record is from RNAcentral.